This 402-nucleotide unclassified non-coding RNA is filed under the name soil metagenome. Its description in RNAcentral is "partial contains 5.8S ribosomal RNA, internal transcribed spacer 2, and large subunit ribosomal RNA". The stretch from base 1 to 120 matches the Rfam family "5.8S ribosomal RNA", at positions 35 to 154 of the family's 154-position model. The record is from RNAcentral.
GAUGAAGAACGUAGCGAAUUGCGAUAUGUAAUGUGAAUUGCAGAAUUCAGUGAAUCAUCGAAUCUUUGAACGCAACUUGCACCCUCUGGUAUUCCGGAGGGUAUGCCUGUUUGAGUGUCAUUAACAUCUCAACGCUUGAUGGGUUCUUGUAACCCGUUCAGUGGUUGGACUUUGAAGGUUGCCGGUGUCAAAGCCAGCUCCUUUUAAAUGCAUGAGCAAGGACUAUUCCGAAUCGGCUUCGGUUUGAUAAAUUUGACUUAUCUGAUGCCGUCGCUGAGGAACUAUGGUCGACCUGCUUCUAAUUGUCUUCGGACUGUCUCCUUGUGAGGCAACUAUAUUGACUCUUGACCUCAAAUCAGGUAGGACUACCCGCUGAACUUAAGCAUAUCAAUAAGCGGAGGA